UUGAAUUUGCUGGAAACUGUAUGGCU
Molecule: small RNA, 26 nt
Filed under: Bombyx mori (domestic silkworm)
Lineage: Eukaryota; Metazoa; Arthropoda; Insecta; Lepidoptera; Bombycidae
Description: ovarian small RNA-37662
Source: RNAcentral